UAUGGCCAUAUCACAUUGAAACACCGGUUCCUGUAUGAUCACCAAAGUUAAGCAAUAUCAAGCUUGGUCAGCACCUAGAUGGGUGGCUGCUUGGGAAUACCAGGUGCUGUAAG
Molecule: non-coding RNA, 113 nt
Organism: Acanthosepion pharaonis
Lineage: Eukaryota; Metazoa; Mollusca; Cephalopoda; Sepiida; Sepiidae
Source: the annotation of a GenBank genome assembly